UUCGCCUACGGGGCGCAGCAGUAGGGAAUCUUCCACAAUGGGCGAAAGCCUGAUGCAGCAACGCCGCGUGAGUGAAGAAGUAUUUCGGUAUGUAAAGCUCUAUCAGCAGGGAAGAAGAAAGACGGUACCUGACUAAGAAGCCCCGGCUAACUACGUGCCAGCAGCCGCGGUAAUACGUAGGGGGCAAGCGUUAUCCGGAUUUACUGGGUGUAAAGGGAGCGUAGACGGCUGUGCAAGUCUGAAGUGAAAGCCCGUGGCUCAACCGCGGAACUGCUUUGGAAACUGUAUAGCUUGAGUACUGGAGG
This 305-nucleotide ribosomal RNA is filed under the name uncultured bacterium. Its description in RNAcentral is "bacterial SSU rRNA". It matches the Rfam family "Bacterial small subunit ribosomal RNA", at positions 334 to 655 of the family's 1533-position model. The record is from RNAcentral.